This 342-nucleotide unclassified non-coding RNA is filed under the name soil metagenome. RNAcentral describes it as "partial contains 5.8S ribosomal RNA, internal transcribed spacer 2, and large subunit ribosomal RNA". The stretch from base 1 to 120 matches the Rfam family "5.8S ribosomal RNA", at positions 35 to 154 of the family's 154-position model. The record is from RNAcentral.
GAUGAAGAACGUAGCGUAAUGCGAUAAGUAAUGUGAAUUGCAGAAUUCAGUGAAUCAUCGAAUCUUUGAACGCACAUUGCGCCCGCCAGCACUCUGGCGGGCAUGCCUGUUCGAGCGUCAUUUCAACCAUCAAGCCCCCAGGGGCUUGUGCUGGGGCCCUGCGGCUGCCCGCAGGCCCUGAAAACCAGUGGCGGGCUCGCUAGUCACACCGAGCGCAGUAGCACAUCUCGCUCAGGGCGUGCGGCGGGCUCCUGCCGUGAAACCCCCCACUGUAACCCCAAAGGUUGACCUCGGAUCAGGUAGGAAUACCCGCUGAACUUAAGCAUAUCAAUAAGCGGAGGA